UCAUCUUCAGUUAGCGUGGCUCAGCGUCCAGAUCAGCGUCUGCGGACACCCCUCACCACAGUGGCUGCCCUGGAGCUCUGAGAGCCAGGCUUGUGAAAAUGGAACAGAAAAGGCCACUGGCUUCAGCUUGGUCCUCUGCCGCCACCUGUGUGCUGGAAGCAGCCACCGCACCGGACUGGAAAGCGCCUUGCUCUAGGGCCCUGGAUGCAAGGUGGGAUUGAGUUUCAUUACAUCACCAGAGAAAAAUUAAAAAGUGACAUAGAAGAGCCACAGACUGACAAGCCUCAGAGUGCCUGUGGGAACAUGGCAACUAGCCACAAGCUGGAAAGUCUGCCGCAUUCUGAAGGGCUGCACUCACCUGCAUGGGAGUCACUUGGCCAUGCUCUGGCCAUAUGCAAUCAUGC
This 404-nucleotide long non-coding RNA is filed under the name Homo sapiens (human). RNAcentral's name for it is "HSALNT0039238". The record is from RNAcentral. Lineage: Eukaryota; Metazoa; Chordata; Mammalia; Primates; Hominidae.